RNAcentral lists this small nucleolar RNA (74 nucleotides) under Sus scrofa (pig). Lineage: Eukaryota; Metazoa; Chordata; Mammalia; Artiodactyla; Suidae. The record is from RNAcentral.
AUUGCGAUGAUGUGAAUUCCUCACUGAAUCACACCUUGUAAGUGCAAAUACAUGAGCUUUUUAACCCUGAGCAA